This 958-nucleotide ribosomal RNA is filed under the name Shigella flexneri. RNAcentral describes it as "partial 23S ribosomal RNA". It matches the Rfam family "Bacterial large subunit ribosomal RNA", at positions 1 to 990 of the family's 2925-position model. Lineage: Bacteria; Pseudomonadati; Pseudomonadota; Gammaproteobacteria; Enterobacterales; Enterobacteriaceae. The record is from RNAcentral.
GGGUUGUGAGGUUAAGCGACUAAGCGUACACGGUGGAUGCCCUGGCAGUCAGAGGCGAUGAAGGACGUGCUAAUCUGCGAUAAGCGUCGGUAAGGUGAUAUGAACCAUUAUAACCGGCGAUUUCCGAAUGGGGAAACCCAGUGUGAUUCGUCACACUAUCAUUAACUGAAUCCAUAGGUUAAUGAGGCGAACCGGGGGAACUGAAACAUCUAAGUACCCCGAGGAAAAGAAAUCAACCGAGAUUCCCCCAGUAGCGGCGAGCGAACGGGGAGCAGCCCAGAGCCUGAAUCAGUGUGUGUGUUAGUGGAAGCGUCUGGAAAGGCGUGCGAUACAGGGUGACAGCCCCGUACACAAAAAUGCACAUAUUGUGAGCUCGAUGAGUAGGGCGGGACACGUGGUAUCCUGUCUGAAUAUGGGGGGACCAUCCUCCAAGGCUAAAUACUCCUGACUGACCGAUAGUGAACCAGUACCGUGAGGGAAAGGCGAAAAGAACCCCGGCGAGGGGAGUGAAAAAGAACCUGAAACCGUGUACGUACAAGCAGUGGGAGCACGCUUAGGCGUGUGACUGCGUACCUUUUGUAUAAUGGGUCAGCGACUUAUAUUCUGUAGCAAGGUUAACCGAAUAGGGGAGCCGAAGGGAAACCGAGUCUUAACUGGGCGUUAAGUUGCAGGGUAUAGACCCGAAACCCGGUGAUCUAGCCAUGGGCAGGUUGAAGGUUGGGUAACACUAACUGGAGGACCGAACCGACUAAUGUUGAAAAAUUAGCGGAUGACUUGUGGCUGGGGGUGAAAGGCCAAUCAAACCGGGAGAUAGCUGGUUCUCCCCGAAAGCUAUUUAGGUAGCGCCUCGUGAAUUCAUCUCCGGGGGUAGAGCACUGUUUCGGCAAGGGGGUCAUCCCGACUUACCAACCCGAUGCAAACUGCGAAUACCGGAGAAUGUUAUCACGGGAGACACACG